GCCUGCCUUCCUUCCUCGAGAGAGAGACGAAGGGAUCUGCCCGCUCUCUGCCCCGCCUCUUCGGGGAUCUGGUGACAGGAGAUUGCUGGCAAGACCUCUUCCUCCAUCUUUUCUUGGUGGCAGUGGGGAAGCAGCAGCUGUAGAAGCAGAUCAGAGUUCACUGUCCUUUGAAGACACAGCUGUUCAUUUUCUGGGUGAGCAGUGGGCGUUGCUAGAUUCUGACUAGAGAGCUCUGCAAAGGGAAGCUAUAGUCAAGAAUUGUGGGAUCAUGGCCUCUCUUGGUAAGGCGGGAAACUACAAAUCAGUUCAUAGUAGACAAUCUUUAUACUGGCUAAGAGGAGGACCUUUCUCUCUUUUUU
Non-coding RNA from Zootoca vivipara (common lizard), 359 nucleotides. The record is from RefSeq and is a predicted model, not a curated record. NCBI's taxonomy places the organism in Eukaryota, Metazoa, Chordata, Lepidosauria, Squamata, Lacertidae.